CCCUACGGGGCGCAGCAGUGAGGAAUAUUGGUCAAUGGGCGAGAGCCUGAACCAGCCAAGUCGCGUGAGGGAAGACGGUCCUAUGGAUUGUAAACCUCUUUUGCCGGGGAGCAAAAAGCGGUACGUGUACCGCAUCGAGAGUACCCGGAGAAAAAGCAUCGGCUAACUCCGUGCCAGCAGCCGCGGUAAUACGGAGGAUGCGAGCGUUAUCCGGAUUUAUUGGGUUUAAAGGGUGCGCAGGCGGCGAGUUAAGUCAGCGGUAAAAUUUCGUGGCUCAACCCUGACGAGCCGUUGAAACUGGCUUG
RNAcentral lists this ribosomal RNA (305 nucleotides) under uncultured bacterium. RNAcentral describes it as "bacterial SSU rRNA". It matches the Rfam family "Bacterial small subunit ribosomal RNA", at positions 337 to 640 of the family's 1533-position model. The record is from RNAcentral.